RNAcentral lists this ribosomal RNA (253 nucleotides) under uncultured bacterium. RNAcentral describes it as "partial 16S ribosomal RNA". It matches the Rfam family "Bacterial small subunit ribosomal RNA", at positions 524 to 776 of the family's 1533-position model. The record is from RNAcentral.
UACAGAGGUCUCGAGCGUUGUUCGGAUUCAUUGGGCGUAAAGGGUGCGUAGGUGGCGCUGUAAGUCGGGUGUGAAAUCCUGAGGCUCAACCUCGGAACUGCAUUCGAUACUGCGGCGCUUGAGGACUGGAGAGGAGACUGGAAUUUACGGUGUAGCGGUGAAAUGCGUAGAUAUCGUAAGGAAGACCAGUGGCGAAGGCGGGUCUCUGGACAGUUCCUGACGCUGAGGCACGAAGGUCAGGGGAGCAAACGGG